Long non-coding RNA from Passer domesticus (house sparrow), 6393 nucleotides. RefSeq lists it as uncharacterized. The transcript has 5 exons. The record is from RefSeq and is a predicted model, not a curated record. NCBI's taxonomy places the organism in Eukaryota, Metazoa, Chordata, Aves, Passeriformes, Passeridae.
GUACCUGAGGGAUGAAACAAAAACAAGGGUUUCCAUCAUCUGUAAAUAGAGUUAAACUUUUCCAUGAAAGCAUUAAGUCCACAGAGCACAGCCAAGCCACCUUGCCAGUCUUGUCCAGCCUCCCUGAGGUCUGUGAGCCCAGGGAAGUGCAUGUUUGGAUAGGUGGCCAGCUCCUAUUUCCAGAGACACACAGCCCUGUUGAUGCUCUGUGGAGCCUGGGGAUGGGGCCUGCUGCCAGCAGCCUGCUCUUCCCCCAGUGCUGGCAGCAGCACCUUGUUCCUCACUAAAUGACAUAUUGAUCCUGCAGGUCACUGCAAGGAGGGCAAUUCUGCUCUGAGAGAGGCAGCCCACACUGCAAAGAAGCUGUGAGCAUUAUAUUGGAACACUCACUUAUGUUCAGGGCAGGCUGGAGCAGCACCCUGGACCCCCAACCCCCUAUUCUGCCUUGGCCCUCACUGACUGUCCGGAAAGCUGCGUCCUGUUCAGCAGUUCACUACCAGUAAAGAGCUGUUUCCUCUGCACUCAGGGGAACUAUGACUAUUAAAGACUCUUCUUUUAUACCCACAAACCUGCCAUGCUUGUUUCUGUUACCUUGACAACCAAAAAAGUAUUUUUUUCCCUGCUCCAAGUUGUAUUCCCAAUAAAAUAAUAUAAAAUUAAGGGAAAAAAAAAAACCAAACUCCUGCAAGUGCAUUUUUAUAAUAGUUAUUCAGUAGCUCCAGAUUCUUUUGUCACUAUAACAUAGCUGAUACUCAACUUCUAAGCCAAAAAGUAUUUACAGAUGCUGCUUACCUGUAGGAUUGUGCCGGAUGAAAAAUACAAAUGGUCUGUCUACUAUGAACCAAGGAGGGGACGACCUGGCUAUUAAAAUUGCAGCUUGCAAAAAAACAAAAAAAAGUCUGGAGUGAGACAAAUCAAGCACCAUAAUGCAGUUUAUACUAUACCAAAGUAAAGUUUCCUUGUAGAUAUAUAUAAUGUGUAUGUAUAUAUAUCUAUAGGCUUGAACAGGUGUAGACAAAUGCCUAAAACCUACUAACUUGGACAUUUAAAGCCACACAGGUCACAUGAUAUUCUUACAGGAAGCAUUUAAAAGACAUAAGACCCACAGAGAACUGAAAGUCUUAGGUUGUCACCCAAAGGCUGUAGUAGCUUACUUCUUUUUGUAACUUGGAUAGUCAGAAUGUGCCAUCAGUGGUCUGAUAUAAAGCCUAAGCUAUGGGAAGACACUUCUCUAGGUAAGCCUGUCAAUAUUUCUUACAGUGAUCAACACUGGCAAUUUGAGAUUUGACUGAGAAAUCACAUAAAACCCAUCAACCGAUCUGAGUCUGAGAUCACUGCAUACUGCUGCAGUGAUCUCCAAGUGGGCUAUCUUUGCCUAGUGCCAAAGCCUUCUAAUGGAGUUUUCCCAAGUCUGACAGUUAUCAGUACAACUGCUUACUUGUUGCUGCAGAAGCUUUGGUUCCAUCUUCACUGACUUCAAUUUUUGUCUUUUGCAGAACGUUGGAUACAUGAAGACCUUCUGUUCCUGAAAGACCCAAGGAGAACAGCACCUUCAGUAAAACUCACUGAGAGAGUCCUGAAGUACUGUGUAGCUAAGCAUGGCUCAGAAUACUAAAAGCUGCUACAAUCCUGCUGGAAUCCCAAAGCUGCAGUGCAGAACAAUACCUUUGAAUACAGUCACUAAUGGUUCUCAGGCUGGAUCCUACACAUCUAACACUGGUUGCAGAAGUCAGCUCCAGGACAGACACACAAGGCAAACUGUCCAACAGCCUUAAUAGUUUCUCUACAUUAAAUACAGGCCAACAUAAUGGAUACUAUAACCAGCAUCAGAGGUCAAAAGCCUUCAAGGACUGGAGACUGUGGCAGUGCCAUUUCUCUAUCUGCAGUAAAAUACAAACGGAAACUCCAAUCUUUCCCUCAUACACAGCUCACCACCAGCGAAGCUUAACCAACAUGCAAAUUUUGCAAUUUGGAUACUUCAGACUUUCCCUUUUGAAGGCAAAGGAUAAGGCAGUAUUUGAUAGAGCAUCCAACCUUAAGGCAACUGUUAAGUACCUUGUCCAUGCCUCAGCAGCAGAAGACACUCCUAUAACACUACCCACCUAUAUCAGCUACAAGAAGCAACACCAUUAAACACCACAUACACAGCAAGCUCCUGGAAAGAGCAAACUCUACACCCUUUGUUGGUGGUAGUGGGAGUCUGAGCUUACCACAGCGAAAGAUGGACAGCUGGGACAGCAUAGGAACUUGGUAGGUCUUCCCAUCAGCUCCAUAAAAUGGGCGUUUCUUGGUAUUUUCAGGUCGAAAUCGUGAUUUCCAUAAGCCCUUGAAAUACACAGCAUUCACUAACACCAGUCUGGUCAAAGUGCCUUCAAUAUCAUCUGGAGCUACAACCUGAUCAAUCAUACCUAGAAGAAAUAAAGGAAUUCUUGAGUAUUUGCUGUUGUAACACUGGCCAACUGUUUUUAAAGAACCUGACACACAUUACUUUAAAGCCCUUGACCCGAGAGUGUGCCAGCUCCUCAUGCAACAAUAUAUUUUAAAUUCAGUCAAUGGUAUUCUUUGUCAAAAAGUAAACUUCUGGAAUAAACAUAUCUUGCUAACUGACAGCCUGAUGUUUUAACAGCUAACAAGGCUCUACCCUUUCCAGCAGCAAGCAGAUCUAACUACAUGGAAUAGUUUCAGCUGAAACACCUCCCCAUUCACACACUGCUUGCAACAUUGCUAUGCAAAACUGGUGAUGUGGUCGAGAAAGAAUUUAACAGCCUCAUUUGACAAAUACCACAUUCAACAUCGUUAACACACUCCUCACAUCCAGGAGAGGCUUGUUUUAGCUCCAGAAGGUACCAAAAACAUAAUUGCCCUGGACUGGGAACACACUGCAAAACGUGAUCUCUGGCUUUAGUGUAUGUAAGCUUUACAACUGGUUCAAGAGGCUUGAAGCAUGAGGAGUUCUGCCAAGGCAGCCACCAAAUGUGAGUUCUAAGAACAGGGUCAUGUCUUAGGACAGUUUAGAGCAGUCAGAGCAAAAGCUGAACUGCCCUUCAGCUUCCUGUGAGUCUGAUUUACUGAGUAAAACAUCUGAGUUGCCUGAAAGCCUCUACGUUUGAGAGAAAGCAUGGACCCAAGAUAAUUGUACUUGGAUUUCUCACAUGAAUGCAAAGAAGAAUAAAAGCUGAUCUGAUCCCAUGGAUGGAUGGGAUGGACACACACCCCAAACACAUCCCUCCAGGCUACCACACAGGCACAUCUGCUGGGGCAACAAGAUUGCUGGUUCCUAACCCAUCAGUUCUAAAGCAUCACACUAAUGCCAGCCAAAAGACAGUUCUGAGCUGCAGAACAGAGCUUUCUCUACCUCCCUGUAUCUUUCUCCAAUAUUUCCAUCUAAAUUGGUGGUCUCAGACACCACCAUGCCUUGGACAAAGGCACUCCCCAGUACUCACCCCUUGUUUCAUUUUUCACCCAUUGGUUGAUGGAAUCACAUGCUGCAUUUGGGUCCUCGAAGUCCACACUCUUGACACUGCACUGAAACACCUCUUUGUUCCUUGUAACAAAAGGCACUUCCAUUUUAAAGCCAUUCUUUGCAAACACUGCAUUAGCAAUUGUUACAAUGUCUUUAUUCUUUUUUGAGACUAUCAGCCUGUUUAUCUUCUUUAAGGCUUUACCCACUCCUAGUUGGAAAAAACAGCAAGUUUAAUUUAGAAUAGCAUGAUAAAUCAACAGUUAAUCUAUAUGCAACCAUUAAUGACAUGAAAAAGCCAGACAUUAAGUGUUGGACUAGAAAAGGAAGACCAAAGCAAGCAUUCUGAAGGCACUUCCAAAAUACUCAUUUCUGAUGCCUCAUCUGCAUAACACUACUGAUUCCCAGCAAAAACAUGAAUCUCCACUAUGAUGCCUGCUGCACCUCCAGCUGUCUGCUCAGUGUUACAGGCAGUGCUUGGGAUUACACUGAGGUUCAAAUAUUACUGUAGAGCUACAAAUCAUGCUCUUCCACAGAACAAACUGUUCCAAAAAUACUUCAUAUCAUAUAAGCCAGGUCAAUUGUCAGUUCUGUGACAAUGACAAAGCAAGUCAAAGGGUGAGCCUACUCACUCAGAGUUCUGCAGGAUUUGCAUAACAAAUGGUCUUGAGUCUCAGAAUGUAAAGCAAAAAUUGUUUUCUUUACUUCCUUUCCAUUUGCUGGAGAAUAAAGGAAGCUGUCAAGAGUUUUAUAAUAAACUUCCAAGUUGAGUCUUAGUUUCCUUAAAGACUAAGUCCUGGCUUAAAUCAGCUACAAGCAAGAAUUAAUCUCUUAACACAUGAGCUUGCCUCUAAAAAAGGAAAAGGGAAAAUAGUAGGUUCCAGUGCUUAGUUAAGAUCCUUAGGACCUGAAAGCAGAUUGUACCAAGUGCUUGCUAGCUCCUUCACUGCGUGUGAGGGAAAGCAUAUGGCAGCACAGAAGAACUGCAAUGUUCACCAGACCCAGCUCUCCUGUGCUACGCCUCACCAAUGAGUGCCUGUCUACAUAGGGAAGGCUCUGCCAGGCAGGCAACUUCAUGUUCAACCACUGCAUCAAACAGCAUCCUUGGGCAGCUGUUAUUAAAGGGUUCCCUCUGCUUCCCAAUACAAUUUAGGCAGAAACAUUUCCUGACUACUUUCUUAUACAGACAAAGAAGAGAUAUGACAGGAAUAAAUUAGUUCAGAGUUAUUCUCUUAGCUGCAUGUAAGAAAAAAACCUCAGAUGGCUUUGCUGUUUCAUGUGUCAUAAAUGCUUUAAAAGCACCACUGGUAUGAAUUUCUACGUGUUCACUCUCCAAUACUAGGGGCAAAUUCUUUUGGAGAACAUACCAUAACAGAGGUUCUCAAACUGUAUUCUGUGGACCACUGGUGGCCCACGGAGCACUUGCUGGUGGUCCGGGGAGAGCUGGCUGGUCUCAUGAUGCUGGCUCUCCUCUUUGCUUCCAGCUGCUAAAUUGCAUUAAAAGACAGCUAAAGACAAAUUAAAAACUUUCCAACUAAAACCUUUCCAAAGAAGCAGUUGCUACAGUUGCCAAAGGACUUUAAGGUAGUCAUGAAAAAGAGCAGGGGAAACCUGUGCAAGGACAGAGGUAGCACCAUAACAGGCCUCUAACCAGGCAGUGGCUACCUUCUAAGGUGUUUGAGAACCUCUGUGUCUCACAGUUGGGAUUAGGAAGUCUGAAGGCCAAACAAAACCAGUUGAUAUAAUACUUCAACAUUUUUGCAAGUGCUUAGCUUUUAAGCAUUCAAAUAUUCCUAGAGCUGAUCAUCCCAUGAAGAGAUUUCAAUCGGUAUCAUUUAGAUGUUAAGGUGUCAAAUAAUUUUAUUGUACUUCAAAUCCAGGACCAAAACAGCAAAGCAAAUGAAGACAGGACAACAUGUUAUAUGACAACAUGUUAUAUGACAAUACUGCUCAAGAUUUAAAUGUGCACUUACCUCCUGGAGGGUUUUCUAUUCUUGGAAGUAAGGCAGAAUGCUGGCACUAAGAUGUUAAGUCUUGCUGGCAAACACUCACAAAAAUAGCAUGCAAAUUAAAGCAGUAAGAAUCUUCAGCCUACUCCCUCUGGAGGGGCAGACAUUGGCAGAGGAAUAUGAACACAGAUGCAUGCAGUGUCAGGCACAGGCAAGCAGAAAUGGCUGUUUCAAGAAGAGGGCACUACAAGAACUACACAUACAGGGGUUCUGACAGCAGAAACAGGUGAACAAAACCGCAGAGCAACAUGAAAGUACCAAUUGUAUGGUUAGUUUGCACUGCUUUCAGUGAGGUGCCAAGAGAUAUCCUCUUGCCCUGUUAUCUAAGGAGUGGCACAUUAAAAGUCGUUCAGCACAGCCUGAAAUGGAGUACUGCCACCUUCCUGCUCAGAGCUAGCACUGGACCACCAUCCACCCUGUUCUGGAAUACCAAUUUGGCAAGGACAAAGGCAGGUCUAGCUAGGGCCCUGAAGGCAGUAACCAAGCUACUUAUAAGCCAGUUUGGGUAUAUGUACAUGCCCAUGCUCAAAUUGCCAAUUAACUUCAAGCAUGUCCAUUCUGUGCUUUUGUAAACAGAGUUAAUUGGUGCAUGAUGCAAUCUACCACACUUUGAAAGCCAUCUCACACAUCAUGAAGAGUCUGAAAAACACACCCAAAACCACCUUAGGAUCACUGACCAUUUACACUGUAUCUCAUCAUAGUUGUCAGCUGCUUCUUUGUCUUGCCAUCAGCUCCCAGCUGCAACACCCCCAGGACAGAUGCAAUCCCGUGAGGAGAAACAACAACAUUGUCCUGAGGCUUAGCUUUCACUAUUUGAUUGAAGACCUGGAUUCCAACAUCGGAGCUAAGCUCCUCCAGAGGAUAAAAACUGAACUGGGAACAUACAGACAUUAAAGUCCCAAGAACAAAGAGGAGCGAAAAGUG